This 486-nucleotide ribosomal RNA is filed under the name uncultured bacterium. RNAcentral describes it as "bacterial SSU rRNA". It matches the Rfam family "Bacterial small subunit ribosomal RNA", at positions 8 to 518 of the family's 1533-position model. The record is from RNAcentral.
AGAGUUUGAUUAUGGCUCAGAAUCAACGCUGGCGGCGUAGCCUAACACAUGCAAGUCGAAACGAGAAAAGUGGUAAGCAAUGCCAGUGAGUAAAGUGGCGCACGGGUGAGUAACACGUGACUAACCUACCCUGGAUGGGGGAUAACUGAGGGAAACCUUAGCUAAUACCGCAUAAAACCCACGGGUCAAAGGAGCAAUUCGCUCUAGGAGGGGGUCGCGGCCGAUUAGUUAGUUGGCGGGGUAACGGCCACCAAGACGAUGAUCGGUAUCCGGCCUGAGAGGGCGCACGGACACACUGGAACUGAAACACGGUCCAGACUCCUACGGGAGGCAGCAGUGGGGAAUUUUGCGCAAUUAGGGGGGAAACCCUGACGCAGCAACGCCGCGUGGAGGAUGAAGUCCUUCGGGACGUAAACUCCUUUCGAUCGGGACGAUUAUGACGGUACCGGAAGAAGAAGCCCCGGCUAACUUCGUGCCAGCAGCCGC